CACCAGAGCCCCCCGCAAGGCAGGAUGGGCUUGCUGUGGCAGGCAACACCAAGGUCGCUACCCCCGACAUGGUUUGACCACACAGUAAUUUGGAGAGACCAAGACAAGUCAGGAAUGCCUCUAGGUGAGGGACUGCUCCAGACAGCGGAUGCUUUAACGUCUUGAGGUACCUCUCACCCUCCAAUGCGCAGUCCAUGGAGUGAGUGCGGGAAGGGCUCCUCUGUGGAAUCCAGCUGCUGCUAAUUGAAGCCGUAGACCUGCUUUGCGAGAGUAUAGAUUCACCGAUGCUCCCGUUCACAUACACUGUGCGUCUCUCUCUCAAUGGGUAGUGUGAUAGCAGAGAAUCCUCUCGUAGUCAGCGCUCUGCCCGGUGGCGUCCUUGUGGCACUAGACCAGGUCUACAAAGGAUCAUGUACACAGAAGGAGGUCUAGAUGGCCACACCAGGCUAUUGCAGGCUGAAGCGAAAUGGAUCAUUUGGACUGGAGCAACAGGUGCUCUGGGUCUGAAUGACCGGAAUGAUCUGUCUUCAUUUCUUUGACUAUUAUUAUUUUUUGCAAAUAUUUUGUAAUAUUGAAUCUUUCUCUUUCUUUCCUCUUUGUUUUCAAUUAUUAUUUUUUGUAUUUAUUGUCUUGUACCUGUAUCUGUCACAAUGUAUGUGAUUUUAUUGUGUGUUACUCUAAUUGGUCAGAGGGAGG
Molecule: long non-coding RNA, 696 nt
Organism: Hyla sarda
Lineage: Eukaryota; Metazoa; Chordata; Amphibia; Anura; Hylidae
Exons: 3
Source: RefSeq, a predicted model, not a curated record